RNAcentral lists this ribosomal RNA (427 nucleotides) under uncultured bacterium. RNAcentral's name for it is "partial 16S ribosomal RNA". It matches the Rfam family "Bacterial small subunit ribosomal RNA", at positions 354 to 796 of the family's 1533-position model. The record is from RNAcentral.
GUGGGGAAUAUUGGGCAAUGGGGGCAACCCUGACCCAGCGACGCCGCGUGGGUGAAGAAAUCCCUCGGGAUGUAAAGCCCUGUUGUAUGGGAAGAGCAGAAGACGGUACCAUACGAGGAAGCCCCGGCAAACUACGUGCCAGCAGCCGCGGUAAUACGUAGGGGGCAAGCGUUGUCCGGAAUUACUGGGCGUAAAGCGCACGCAGGCUGAAUUAUAAGUCGGUAGUCAAAUACGGAGGCUCAACUUCCGGAUAUCUAUCGAUACUGUAAAUCUAGAGUAUGUGAGAGGGAAGCGGAAUUCCCGGUGUAGCGGUGAAUUGCGUAGAUAUCGGGAGGAACACCAGUGGCGAAGGCGGCUUCCUGGCACAAUACUGACGCUCAUGUGCGAAAGCUAGGGCAGCGAACGGGAUUAGAUACCCUAGUAGUCC